RNAcentral lists this ribosomal RNA (484 nucleotides) under uncultured bacterium. Its description in RNAcentral is "partial 16S ribosomal RNA". It matches the Rfam family "Bacterial small subunit ribosomal RNA", at positions 30 to 507 of the family's 1533-position model. The record is from RNAcentral.
AUUGAACGCUGGCGGCAGGCCUAACACAUGCAAGUCGAGCGGAUGAAGGGAGCUUGCUCCUGGAUUCAGCGGCGGACGGGUGAGAAAUGCCUAGGAAUCUGCCUGGUAGUGGGGGAUAACGUCCGGAAACGGGCGCUAAUACCGCAUACGUCCUGAGGGAGAAAGUGGGGGAUCUUCGGACCUCACGCUAUCAGAUGAGCCUAGGUCGGAUUAGCUAGUUGGUGGGGUAAAGGCCUACCAAGGCGACGAUCCGUAACUGGUCUGAGAGGAUGAUCAGUCACACUGGAACUGAGACACGGUCCAGACUCCUACGGGAGGCAGCAGUGGGGAAUAUUGGACAAAGGGCGAAAGCCUGAUCCAGCCAUGCCGCGUGUGUGAAGAAGGUCUUCGGAUUGUAAAGCACUUUAAGUUGGGAGGAAGGGCAGUAAGUUAAUACCUUGCUGUUUUGACGUUACCAACAGAAUAAGCACCGGCUAACUUCGUG